Molecule: unclassified non-coding RNA, 299 nt
Filed under: Coprinellus micaceus
Lineage: Eukaryota; Fungi; Basidiomycota; Agaricomycetes; Agaricales; Psathyrellaceae
Also listed under: 1 other name
Description: partial contains small subunit ribosomal RNA, internal transcribed spacer 1, and 5.8S ribosomal RNA
Source: RNAcentral
UUUCCGUAGGUGAACCUGCGGAAGGAUCAUUAACGAAUAACUAUGGUGUCUUGGUUGUAGCUGGCUCCUCGGAGCAAUGUGCACGCCCGCCAUUUUUAUCUUUCCACCUGUGCACCGACUGUAGGUCUGGAUGACUCUCGUACUCCGGUGCGGAUGCGAGGAUUGCUCUCGGGCUCUCCUCGAAUUUCCAGACUCUACGUCUUUUUACACACCCCAAACGUAUGAUACAGAAUGUAGUCAAUGGGCUUGAUCGCCUAUAAAACACUAUACAACUUUCAGCAACGGAUCUCUUGGCUCUC